GACGAACGCUGGCGGUGUGCUUAACACAUGCAAGUGGUGCGACGAACCAGGCUUCGGCCUGGGGCAAAGCCGCGAACGGGUGAGUAACACGUGGGUAAUCUGCCCCGAUGACCGGGACAACCCGAGGAAACUCGGGCUAAUACCGGAUGUUGUCCACAGGCAAAAGCCUGUGUACUAAAGGUAGCUUCGGCUUCCGCAUUGGGAGGGGCCCGCGGCCCAUUAGCUUGUUGGUGGGGUCAAGGCCUACCAAGGCAACGAUGGGUAGCUGGUCUGAGAGGACGAUCAGCCACACUGGGACUGAGACACGGCCCAGACUCCUACGGAGGCAGCAGUGGGGAAUCUUGCGCAAUGCGCGAAAGCGUGACGCAGCAACACCGCGUGAGGGAAGACGGCCCUAGGGUUGUAAACCUCUUUCAGAUGGGACGAAGGUUCAGCGGUGAACAGCCGAC
This 449-nucleotide ribosomal RNA is filed under the name uncultured bacterium. RNAcentral's name for it is "bacterial SSU rRNA". It matches the Rfam family "Bacterial small subunit ribosomal RNA", at positions 28 to 476 of the family's 1533-position model. The record is from RNAcentral.